GUAGGUGGCAAGCGUUGUCCGGAAUUAUUGGGCGUAAAGCGCGCGCAGGCGGUCCUUUAAGUCUGAUGUGAAAGCCCACGGGCUCAACCGUGGAGGGUCAUUGGGAACUGGGGGACUUGAGUACAGAAGAGGAAAGCGGAAUUCCAAGUGUAGCGGUGAAAUGCGUAGAGAUUUGGAGGAACACCAGUGGCGAAGGCGGCUUUCUGGUCUGUAACUGACGCUGAGGCGCGAAAGCGUGGGGAGCAAACAGGAUUAGAUACCCUGGUAGUCCACGCCGUAAACGAUGAGUGCUAAGUGUUAGGGGGUUUCCGCCCCUUAGUGCUGCAGCUAACGCAUUAAGCACUCCGCCUGGGGAGUACGGCCGCAAAGGCUGA
RNAcentral lists this ribosomal RNA (374 nucleotides) under uncultured organism. RNAcentral describes it as "partial 16S ribosomal RNA". It matches the Rfam family "Bacterial small subunit ribosomal RNA", at positions 527 to 897 of the family's 1533-position model. The record is from RNAcentral.